AGCCAGCUGCAGCUCAUUCCAGUACUCAACCAACAGUUAUCAACCCGGGCUGUUCACCUCUUCAGCGCCAGUUCGUUGCAACCAUUCUCGUGAUUCUGCCUCUGGACCCGCUGCUCAUCAGCGUUCAUCUGCCUCCUCGCUGCCUACUCACCUCGCCACUCCGCUCUCAACCAGCCAUUCCACCCAGCCGUCAUCUUCGCUGCCUGGCCACACACCCGCCUUCUGAUCUCCGGCUUCGACCCUACCUGGAGCAGCUAUCCUGGCCAUCUCCCUCCUCCACUAUCAAACAUCGUUUCUAAUAAACACUGUAAACUGCU
Perca flavescens (yellow perch) is the source of this 317-nucleotide long non-coding RNA. RefSeq lists it as uncharacterized. NCBI's taxonomy places the organism in Eukaryota, Metazoa, Chordata, Actinopteri, Perciformes, Percidae. The transcript has 2 exons. The record is from RefSeq and is a predicted model, not a curated record.